GGAGGGGGGCUAGCGUUGUUCGGAAUUACUGGGCGUAAAGCGCGCGUAGGCGGGCUUGCCAAGUUGGGGGGUGAAAUCCCGGGGCUCAACCCGGAACUGCCCUCAAAACUGGCUCGCUAGAGUCCGGGAGAGGUGAGUGGAAUUCCCAGUGUAGAGGUGAAAUUCGUAGAUAUUGGGAAGAACACCAGUGGCGAAGGCGGCUCACUGGACCGGUACUGACGCUGAGGCGCGAAAGCGUGGGGAGCAAACAGGAUUAGAUACCCUGGUAGUCCACGCCGUAAACGAUGAGUGCUAGAUGUCGGGGGGCUUGCCCUUCGGUGCCGCAGCUAACGCGUUAAGCACUCCGCCUGGGGAGUACGGCCGCAAGGUUA
This 371-nucleotide ribosomal RNA is filed under the name uncultured organism. RNAcentral describes it as "partial 16S ribosomal RNA". It matches the Rfam family "Bacterial small subunit ribosomal RNA", at positions 526 to 896 of the family's 1533-position model. The record is from RNAcentral.